GACGAACGCUGGCGGCGUGCCUAAUACAUGCAAGUUGAGCGCUGAAGGUUGGUACUUGUACCAACUGGAUGAGCAGCGAACGGGUGAGUAACGCGUGGGGAAUCUGCCUUUGAGCGGGGGACAACAUUUGGAGACGAAUGCUAAUACCGCAUAAAAACUUUAAACACAAGUUUUAAGUUUGAAAGAUGCAAUUGCAUCACUCAAAGAUGAUCCCGCGUUGUAUUAGCUAGUUGGUGAGGUAAAGGCUCACCAAGGCGAUGAUACAUAGCCGACCUGAGAGGGUGAUCGGCCACAUUGGGACUGAGACACGUCCCAAACUCCUACGGGAGGCAGCAGUAGGGAAUCUUCGGCAAUGGACGAAAGUCUGACCGAGCAACGCCGCGUGAGUGAAGAAGGUUUUCGGAUCGUAAAACUCUGUUGGUAGAGAAGAACGUUGGUGAGAGUGGAAAGCUCAUCAAGUGACGGUAACUACCCAGAAAGGGACGGCUAACUACGUG
Molecule: ribosomal RNA, 497 nt
Filed under: uncultured bacterium
Lineage: Bacteria
Description: partial 16S ribosomal RNA
Rfam family: Bacterial small subunit ribosomal RNA
Source: RNAcentral